CCCCUGUGACCCAGUUCCUCCAAUGAGGAUCCCCCUUCUCCAAUUUCUACCACCUCUCAAUCAAACCAUCAUAUUAUGAGUCAAUCAAUGGCUAAUCCACUGGUGAGCUGCCAUGAGGAUGCAGUGUCAACUGUGUUCAGGACAUCCUUAAGUUGUGGUAUUCAUGUUCACCCUGGGCCUAGAAACAAUAGAUCCAGAUGACUGGUGUUAACCCUCUGAAACAGCAUUAUAUGUGGAAUGCGAUUCAAAAUGGCUGGAGAUAUUUUACUGUCCACAUAAGAAUGAAGCCAAUACAUAGAGGAAAGAAGAGUCAGUAGACUCAUAGGAGGAAGAAAUACAAUCUGAAAUAUUUUCUUCCCAUGGACUUCAUGUUAUAUGAGAGAAUAAAACUUCUGAUUUUGAAGACAA
Non-coding RNA from Ictidomys tridecemlineatus (thirteen-lined ground squirrel), 408 nucleotides. Lineage: Eukaryota; Metazoa; Chordata; Mammalia; Rodentia; Sciuridae. The record is from RefSeq and is a predicted model, not a curated record.